GACGAACGCUGGCGGCGUGCUUAACACAUGCAAGUCGAACGGUGAAGCGCCUUCCUUUUUGGUGGGUGUGGAUGAGUGGCGAACGGGUGAGUAACACGUGAGUAACCUGCCCCCUUCUUCUGGAUAACCGCAUGAAAGUGUGGCUAAUACGGGAUAUUCUGGGUCUGUCGCAUGAUGGGUCUGGGAAGGAUAUUGUUUCGGUGGGGGAUGGGCUCGCGGCCUAUCAGCUUGUUGGUGGGGUGAUGGCCUACCAAGGCGGUGACGGGUAGCCGGCCUGAGAGGGUGGACGGUCACACUGGGACUGAGACACGGCCCAGACUCCUACGGGAGGCAGCAGUGGGGAAUAUUGCACAAUGGGCGCAAGCCUGAUGCAGCGACGCCGCGUGAGGGAUGGAGGCCUUCGGGUUGUGAACCUCUUUCGCCAGUGAAGCAGGCCUGCCUCGUUUGUGGGUGGGUUGACGGUAGCUGGAGAAGAAGCGCCGGCUAACUACGUG
This 494-nucleotide ribosomal RNA is filed under the name uncultured bacterium. RNAcentral's name for it is "partial 16S ribosomal RNA". It matches the Rfam family "Bacterial small subunit ribosomal RNA", at positions 28 to 507 of the family's 1533-position model. The record is from RNAcentral.